UACGUAGGGUGCGAGCGUUAAUCGGAAUUACUGGGCGUAAAGCGUGCGCAGGCGGUGAUGUAAGUCAGAUGUGAAAUCCCCGGGCUUAACCUGGGAACUGCAUUUGUGACUGCAUCGCUGGAGUGCGGCAGAGGGGGAUGGAAUUCCGCGUGUAGCAGUGAAAUGCGUAGAUAUGCGGAGGAACACCGAUGGCGAAGGCAAUCCCCUGGGCCUGCACUGACGCUCAUGCACGAAAGCGUGGGGAGCAAACAGG
This 253-nucleotide ribosomal RNA is filed under the name uncultured bacterium. RNAcentral describes it as "partial 16S ribosomal RNA". It matches the Rfam family "Bacterial small subunit ribosomal RNA", at positions 524 to 776 of the family's 1533-position model. The record is from RNAcentral.